CUUAACACAUGCAAGUCGAACGGGAUCUUCGGAUCUAGUGGCAGACGGGUGAGUAACGCGUGGGAACCUGCCCAGUAGUAGAGAAUAACUUGAGGAAACUUAAGCUAAUACUUUAUACACCCUUCGGGGAAAAGCUUUAUGCGCUAUUGGAUGGGCCCGCGUUAGAUUAGUUUGUUGGUGAGGUAAUGGCUCACCAAGACUACGAUCUAUAGCUGGUCUGAGAGGAUGAUCAGCCACACUGGGACUGAGACACGGCCCAGACUCCUACGGGAGGCAGCAGUGGGGAAUAUUGGACAAUGGGGGCAACCCUGAUCCAGCGAUGCCGCGUGAGUGAUGAAGGCCUUCGGGUUGUAAAACUCUUUCGUCAGGGAAGAUAAUGACGGUACCUGAAGAAGAAGAUCCGGCUAACUCCGUGCCAGCAGCCGCGGUAAUACGGAGGGAUCUAGCGUUAUUCGGAAUUACUGGGCGUAAAGCGAGCGUAGGCGGAUUUGUAAGUUGGAGGUGAAAUCCCAGAGCUUAACUCUGGAACUGCCUUCAAAACUACAUUUCUUGAGUUUGGUAGAGGAGAGUGGAAUUCCUAGUGUAGAGGUGAAAUUCGUAGAUAUUAGGAGGAACACCAGUGGCGAAGGCGACUCUCUGGGCCAAUACUGACGCUGAGGUUCGAAAGCAUGGGUAGCGAACAGGAUUAGAUACCCUGGUAGUCCAUGCAGUAAACGAUGAGUGCUAGAUGUUGGGAAUUUAAAUUUCCAGUAUCGCAGUUAACGCGUUAAGCACUCCGCCU
RNAcentral lists this ribosomal RNA (781 nucleotides) under uncultured Alphaproteobacteria bacterium. RNAcentral describes it as "bacterial SSU rRNA". It matches the Rfam family "Bacterial small subunit ribosomal RNA", at positions 47 to 874 of the family's 1533-position model. The record is from RNAcentral. Lineage: Bacteria; Pseudomonadati; Pseudomonadota; Alphaproteobacteria.